Molecule: long non-coding RNA, 1752 nt
Filed under: Strongylocentrotus purpuratus (purple sea urchin)
Lineage: Eukaryota; Metazoa; Echinodermata; Echinoidea; Camarodonta; Strongylocentrotidae
Description: uncharacterized LOC115921177
Source: RNAcentral
ACUUUCAGGCUUGAAACUGUCCCGUCUCCGAUACCAGCCCCAUCAAAUCCCCUCCUUGCAGAAGCACUGUGUUCUAUGCCAAACCUGACUGACCUGACACUUGGAAUAUUAAUCAAUGAGGAGUUUUACUCCACAUUGAAAGCAAAGGCAUCAUCCGUACAGGGUUGUUUUCCUCAGAUCAGGAAAGGAAACUUCAAGUUCGAUGAAGUUGCUCAAGUUGACUUGAACUCAUUUCUUCACACCCUCUAAUAUUCGCAAAGGUUCUAUGACUCAGCACACUUAGGCAACUCUAAUGACUCGUAUGUCUCGGCCAACUCAGGCAACUCAAAUAACUCAGACAACUCAGCCGACUUGGGUAACUCAAAUGACUCGGACAACUCAGCUGACCUGGGCAGCUCAAAUGACUCGUAUGUCUCGGCCAACUCAGGCAACUCAAAUAACUCAGACAACUCAGCCAAUUCAGCCAACUUGGGCAGCUCAAAUGACUCGUAUGUCUCGGCCAACUCAGGCAACUCAAACAACUCAGACAACUCAGCCAACUUGGGUAACUCAAAUGACUCUGACAACUCAGCCGUCUUGGGCAACUUAAAUGACUCGUAUGUCUCGGCCAACUCAGGCAACUCAAAUAACUCAGACAACUCAGCCAACUUGGGUAACUCAAAUAACUCAGACAACUCAGCCAACUUGGGUAAGUCAAAUGACUCGGAUAGUUCGGCUGACUCGGGCAACCAGCUCUGCUCUGUUGUGUAACCCUCCAGUCUCUGGAUAUCGUCAACCUAUCAUGUUGAGAUGGCACAUUCAGAUGCACCAUUCAACCAAUGAUUGUAGAGCGGGCAAGAUCUAGCUGACCUCGGCCUAGUCAGGAUCACUUUACUACAGGAUUUCAUUCAGCUUCCCAAGACCGGCCAAUUGUACAGGAAAGAACAAGUUCUUCAAGUAGCCCAGGUUCUUCCAGUCAGGUAUCACAUUCAACCAGCUUUUCGUCUCCAAUCCAAAGUACAAGCAGUACUGGCAGAGAUAAAAACUUUCAUUUUUGUAAUACGUCAGAUACAGUAUGUCAAUUUUCUCAGACAUACAAAGGUAUCAACAGUCGGAGCAGGUCUCACAAGAGGCAAGCUCCUUGUACUCAUUCAAGAGUUCAACAGGAUGAUCCUGAAAUUGCAGUGAAUUCUAGUUGCUAUGGUAUCUGUAGAGUAAGACAGUGUCCCACUGGUAACACUUCAUCUUGACUUUGUGUAUGUAUCAUACAGGGCUCCACACUAACUUUCUUUUUGGAAAAGAGGUUCAGAUUUAAUUUUUAACAGUCUGUAGGCAUGAGCCCUAAGUAAAAACUUCCAAAUUCGGGGGGUCCGGACCUAGAUUAUGAGCGUCCAUGUGUCCCGGCGAGCCUGGAUGGUUUUGAGCCCAGGACUGAUAGCAAGAAAUUUGGGGCAAAAGGGGAUAAUUUGUGGUGAUGUUUGAAAACAUUUGAAUAUUCGUAAAAAGGCUGUUUUCUUUUUUGUCUUCACCUUGAUGAGUACAGUCCACUAUCUGGGGUUAGUGUAUACAUUUUACGAGAAAGGGAUCAUGACAAUGUCACAACGUUUGAAAACAUGUGAAAGGCCUAUGUAGAAAGUGAUGCAAAAAUAGGAUACGUUUUGUGAAUGUGUACUGAAUGAGCCCGAAACAGAGUAGUACCAAGAGCCCAUUGUGUGCUUGUUUUAUGAAGGAAGGGAUCAUAUUUUCCUGGGAACUAUUUUUGAAAAUACUUAA